RNAcentral lists this non-coding RNA (25 nucleotides) under Drosophila erecta. The record is from RNAcentral. RNAcentral also lists the same sequence under 1 other name. Lineage: Eukaryota; Metazoa; Arthropoda; Insecta; Diptera; Drosophilidae.
UUGUUUACUAGUUAGGCACAGCAGA